GAUAAACGCUGGCGGCGUGCCUAAUGCAUGCAAGUCGAACGGGAUGUUCUUUCGGGAGCAUCGAGUGGCGAACGGGUGAGGAACGCGUGGAGAACCUACCCCGGCGUGGGGGAUACCCGCCAGAAAUGGCGGCUAAUACCGCGUACGGUCCAGGAGCGAAGGGCUUACUGGAAGAAAGCAGCAAUGCGCGCUGGGAGGGGUCUGCGCCCGAUUAGCUUGUUGGCGGGGUAACGGCCCACCAAGGCGGUGAUCGGUAGCUGGUCUGAGAGGAUGAUCAGCCACACGGGGACUGAGACACGGCCCCGACUCCUACGGGAGGCAGCAGCAAGGAAUUUUCCGCAAUGGGGGCAACCCUGACGGAGCAACGCCGCGUGACGGAUGACGCCUCUUGGGGUGUAAACGUCUUUUGCCGAGGGAGAGAAUGGACGGUACUCGGCGAAUAAGGACCGGCUAACUACGUGCCAGCAGCCGCGGUAAUACGUAGGGUCCGAGCGUUGUCCGGAAUUACUGGGCGUAAAGCGUGCGCAGGCGGCCUUCCAAGCGCCACGUGAAAGCCCCGGGCUCAACCCGGGAGGGUCGUGGCGAACUGGGAGACUUGAGGCCGGUAGAGGUGGGUGGAACUCCUGGUGGAGUGGUGAAAUGCGUAGAGAUCAGGAAGAACACCCGUGGCGAAGGCGGCCCACUGGGCCGGUACUGACGCUGAGGCACGAAGGCGUGGGGAGCGAAACGGGAUUAGAUACCCCGGUAGUCCACGCAGUAAACGAUGUCGACUCGGUGUGGGCGGUCUUGACCCCGUCCGCGCCACAGCUAACGCGACAAGUCGACCGCCUGGGGAGUACGGCCGCAAGGCUAAACUCAAAGGAAU
This 865-nucleotide ribosomal RNA is filed under the name uncultured bacterium. RNAcentral describes it as "bacterial SSU rRNA". It matches the Rfam family "Bacterial small subunit ribosomal RNA", at positions 28 to 910 of the family's 1533-position model. The record is from RNAcentral.